This 442-nucleotide ribosomal RNA is filed under the name uncultured Bacillus sp. Its description in RNAcentral is "bacterial SSU rRNA". It matches the Rfam family "Bacterial small subunit ribosomal RNA", at positions 349 to 782 of the family's 1533-position model. The record is from RNAcentral. Lineage: Bacteria; Bacillati; Bacillota; Bacilli; Caryophanales; Bacillaceae.
CAGCAGUAGGGAAUCUUCCGCAAUGGACGAAAGUCUGACGGAGCAACGCCGCGUGAGUGAUGAAGGUUUUCGGAUCGUAAAACUCUGUUGUUAGGGAAGAACAAGUACCGUUCGAAUAGGGCGGUACCUUGACGGUACCUAACCAGAAAGCCACGGCUAACUACGUGCCAGCAGCCGCGGUAAUACGUAGGUGGCAAGCGUUGUCCGGAAUUAUUGGGCGUAAAGCGCGCGCAGGCGGUUUCUUAAGUCUGAUGUGAAAGCCCCCGGCUCAACCGGGGAGGGUCAUUGGAAACUGGGGAACUUGAGUGCAGAAGAGGAGAGUGGAAUUCCACGUGUAGCGGUGAAAUGCGUAGAGAUGUGGAGGAACACCAGUGGCGAAGGCGACUCUCUGGUCUGCAACUGACGCUGAGGCGCGAAAGCGUGGGGAGCGAACAGGAUUAGA